RNAcentral lists this ribosomal RNA (526 nucleotides) under uncultured Cortinarius. RNAcentral's name for it is "eukaryotic LSU rRNA". The stretch from base 125 to 278 matches the Rfam family "5.8S ribosomal RNA". Lineage: Eukaryota; Fungi; Basidiomycota; Agaricomycetes; Agaricales; Cortinariaceae. The record is from RNAcentral.
UUUGCCCGCUACCUCUUACCCAUGUCUUUUGAGUACUUACGUUUCCUCGGCGGGUCCGCCCGCCGAUUGGACAAAAUUAAACCCUUUGCAGUUGCAAUCAGCGUCUGAAAAACAUAAUAGUUACAACUUUCAACAACGGAUCUCUUGGUUCUGGCAUCGAUGAAGAACGCAGCGAAAUGCGAUAAGUAAUGUGAAUUGCAGAAUUCAGUGAAUCAUCGAAUCUUUGAACGCACCUUGCGCUCCUUGGUAUUCCGAGGAGCAUGCCUGUUUGAGUGUCAUUAAUAUAUCAACCUUCUCUUUUUGAGUGGUUUGGAUGUGGGGGUUUGCUGGCCUCUUAAAAAGGUCUUGGCUCUCCUGAAAUACAUUAGCAGAACAACCCUGUUCAUUGGUGUGAUAAACUAUCUACGCUAUUGAAUGUGAAGGGCAGUUUGGCUUUCUAACAGUCCUUGGACAAGCUCAUCAUUAAUGUGACCUCAAAUCAGGUAGGACUACCCGCUGAACUUAAGCAUAUCAAUAAGCGGAGGAA